RNAcentral lists this ribosomal RNA (425 nucleotides) under uncultured cyanobacterium. Its description in RNAcentral is "bacterial SSU rRNA". It matches the Rfam family "Bacterial small subunit ribosomal RNA", at positions 356 to 795 of the family's 1533-position model. Lineage: Bacteria; Bacillati; Cyanobacteriota. The record is from RNAcentral.
GGGGAAUUUUCCGCAAUGGGCGAAAGCCUGACGGAGCAAUACCGCGUGAGGGAGGAAGGCUCUUGGGUCGUAAACCUCUUUUCUCAGGGAAGAACACAAUGACGGUACCUGAGGAAUAAGCAUCGGCUAACUCCGUGCCAGCAGCCGCGGUAAUACGGAGGAUGCAAGCGUUAUCCGGAAUUAUUGGGCGUAAAGCGUCCGCAGGUGGUUUGUCAAGUCUGCUGUCAAAGCGUGGAGCUUAACUCCACACAGGCAGUGGAAACUGAUGAGCUAGAGUUCGGUAGGGGUAGCGGGAAUUCCCAGUGUAGCGGUGAAAUGCGUAGAUAUUGGGAAGAACACCGGCGGCGAAAGCGCGCUACUGGGCCGAGACUGACACUGAGGGACGAAAGCUAGGGGAGCGAAAGGGAUUAGAUACCCCUGUAGUC